Molecule: transfer RNA, 78 nt
Filed under: Deltaproteobacteria bacterium HGW-Deltaproteobacteria-13
Lineage: Bacteria; Deltaproteobacteria
Description: tRNA-Pro
Rfam family: tRNA (bases 5-71)
About the family: Transfer RNA (tRNA) molecules are approximately 80 nucleotides in length.
Source: RNAcentral
CGUCGAUGUGGCCCAGCUUGGUAGGGCACUGCGUUCGGGACGCAGGAGUCGCGCGUUCAAAUCGCGCCAUCCCGACCA